GCCCUCGUGGCGGAAGCAGGUAGACGCGCUGGCUUGAGGUGCCAGUGCUCCGCGAGGAGCGUCCCGGUUCAAGUCCGGGCGAGGGCA
Molecule: transfer RNA, 87 nt
Filed under: Cellulomonas hominis
Lineage: Bacteria; Bacillati; Actinomycetota; Actinomycetes; Micrococcales; Cellulomonadaceae
Rfam family: tRNA
About the family: Transfer RNA (tRNA) molecules are approximately 80 nucleotides in length. Their secondary structure includes four short double-helical elements and three loops (D, anti-codon, and T loops). Further hydrogen bonds mediate the characteristic L-shaped molecular structure. tRNAs have two regions of fundamental functional importance: the anti-codon, which is responsible for specific mRNA codon recognition, and the 3' end, to which the tRNAs corresponding amino acid is attached (by aminoacyl-tRNA synthetases). tRNAs cope with the degeneracy of the genetic code in two manners: having more than one tRNA (with a specific anti-codon) for a particular amino acid; and 'wobble' base-pairing, i.e. permitting non-standard base-pairing at the 3rd anti-codon position.
Source: Rfam by way of RNAcentral